Hirundo rustica (Barn swallow) is the source of this 1347-nucleotide long non-coding RNA. RefSeq lists it as uncharacterized. The transcript is spliced from 2 exons. The record is from RefSeq and is a predicted model, not a curated record. Lineage: Eukaryota; Metazoa; Chordata; Aves; Passeriformes; Hirundinidae.
AGGAUACUCCCGUAUGGCAGGGAAAGCUUCUGUGCCGGCUACAGUAACAGAAACAGCAGAGACCUGAGUAUUUGUGAUGUUCCUGUGGAGAACGGGUUGUUCGGUGGAGAAUUGGUGAUCCUGCAAGAGGAAGGGAUGGUGCUUCUCUUUUACAGUGCUCUGAGGAGUGGGCACACCACAGGCUUCCUCUGACUUUGGAAAGGGAGAAAGACUCCUGCAAACUGAAUGAAUAGCAAUGACAUAUCUACAGCAACCAGGGGUUCAUCUAUUUUAAAUACACCCCACUCCUGCGCUUGGGUUCCUUCCAAAGCAGCCUUGAGUAUCUUACAAGUAUGUUAAGAGAUACAAAAAUAGAUGCAAACACAAGUCGUUGGAAAUGUUAUUAACAAAGGCAAUAAGGAGCCAAACAGAGCUGCUGCUCUCUAACAAUCCCUGAGGGACAGGAGGAGCCCUGCAGUCUGCACUCCAGAAGAGCAGAGUAAAUCCAGCGUGGCUCCACAAGCUGUGACUGAACGCAGAGUUUGGCUCAAGGAGUACAGCGCUCUCCCAACAGAAAGAUCAAUUCAUUUCAUUCAUGUGAAGGAGCUUGGAGUUAUGUCUGCCACUGGAAAAUCCAUUGUACCAGCUGAAAUGGGGGCUGGCAGAGCCCUGUGUCCUCACAGAGACAAAUGUACCUCUGUGCAGAGGAGUGACUUAUUUAAGUACCACUUGUGGCCCGUGUCAGAACGGAGUCUUGAGACUGUCAAGGCACUGAGACCUCAUAAAUUGCUUCUGUCUGACAAAUGUCAGACACUCACAUGAGGCUGGGUUUGUGACUCAGUGAGCUUUUCCUGGUGCAAUUGAGAGCUGCACUUAUUGCUCUUGACAUAGUACAUGGGUAUAUCCUACACACAGUCUUCCCACUAGUCAAAAACAAACAAACAAACAACAACAACAACAAAAAACCAAACAAAAAACCACCACCCACCAAAGAUUCUUUGUGUCCAGGCUGGUAGCGAUCCUGUAUUGAUUGCACUGGGAACAAUAGUAGCUUCAUAUUUAUUUAUUAUUCUUCUGUUCCAUGAGCAUCAAAGCAACAGGAAUUCUUAGUUUCCAUAAAUUUCUAUUAGCUUAAGACUUUGAAUACUGGCAUUUACAGCUGUGUCCUGCUGUGUCUUGAAAACAUGAGAUUGUACCAAGAUCACUAAGAAAUGCUUAGGAUGCCACGACAAAUCUGUUCCCCUGGCUCCUGCCUUCCUUUCCAGGCUCCAGUUAAAGCAUCCCUUCAUCCUGACAGCCUGGGCAAGAUGAAUUGCAGUAAUUUCUGGGAAACACGGGGAUCUCGUCACAGGAGUCUUCAUGUUUUAA